GACGAACGCUGGCGGCGUGCUUAAUACAUGCAAGUCAACUGAACUUAAGGUAGUAAUACUUUAAGGGAGGUGGCGCACGGGUGAGUAACACGUAGGUAAUCUGCUUUUAGGUCUGACAUAAUUCCGCGAAAGCGGGACUAACUUCAGAUGAUGCAGCGGCUCGACAUCGAGACAGUUGUUAAAUCUUCGGAGCCUAAAGAUGAGCCUGCGUCUGAUUAGGUAGUUGGCGGAGUAAAGCCCACCAAGCCUGCGAUCAGUAGCUGGUCUGAGAGGAUGAUCAGCCACACUGGAACUGAGACACGGUCCAGACUCCUACGGGAGGCAGCAGUAAGGAAUAUUGCUCAAUGGCCGAAAGGCUGAAGCAGCAACGCCGCGUGGAGGAUGAAAUACUUUUGUAUGUAAACUCCUGUAAGAAGGGAAAAUAUUUCGAUUUAUCGGAAUUGAUUGUACCUUCAGAGUAAGCACCGGCUAACUACGUGCCAG
Molecule: ribosomal RNA, 483 nt
Filed under: uncultured bacterium
Lineage: Bacteria
Description: bacterial SSU rRNA
Rfam family: Bacterial small subunit ribosomal RNA
Source: RNAcentral